Molecule: ribosomal RNA, 442 nt
Filed under: uncultured bacterium
Lineage: Bacteria
Description: partial 16S ribosomal RNA
Rfam family: Bacterial small subunit ribosomal RNA
Source: RNAcentral
CCUACGGGUGGCAGCAGUGGGGAGUAUUGGGCAAUGGGCGCAAGCCUGACCCAGCAACGCCGCGUGAAGGAAGAAGGCUUUCGGGUUGUAAACUUCUUUUAAGAGGGAAGAGCAGAAGACGGUACCUCUUGCAUCAGCCACGGCUAACUACGUGCCAGCAGCCGCGGUAAUAAGUAGGUGGCAAGCGUUGUCCGGAUUUCCUGGGUGGAACGGUCGUGCAGCCGGGAAGACAAGUCAGAUGUGAAAUCCCGCGGCUCAACCGCGGAACUGCAUUUGAAACUGUUUUUCUUGAGUACCGGAGAGGUCAUCGGAAUGCCUUGUGUAGCGGUGAAAUGCGUAGAUAGAAGGAAGAACAGCAGUGGCGAAGGCGGAUGACUGGACGGCAACUGACGGUGAGGCGCGAAAGCGUGGGGAGCAAACAGGAUUAGAUACCCGUGUAGUC